CGCACAUUGCGCCCGCCAGUAUUCUGGCGGGCAUGCCUGUUCGAGCGUCAUUUCAACCACUCAGGCCCUGGUGCCUGGCGUCGGGGUAUUCCGCCUCACGGCAGAAGCCCCUAGAGACAGUGGCGGACCCGCCGCGGCUCCGAGCGCAGUAGUAAAAUAUCUCGCUAUGGAGGUCCGCGGGGGGGUUUCCCGGCCGUAAAAAACUCUCUCCGCAAGGAGAUAAUCUCAAGGUUGACCUCGGAUCAGGUAGGAAUACCCGCUGAACUUAA
Molecule: unclassified non-coding RNA, 269 nt
Filed under: Sordariomycetes sp.
Lineage: Eukaryota; Fungi; Ascomycota; Sordariomycetes
Description: partial contains 5.8S ribosomal RNA, internal transcribed spacer 2, and large subunit ribosomal RNA
Source: RNAcentral